RNAcentral lists this ribosomal RNA (253 nucleotides) under uncultured bacterium. Its description in RNAcentral is "partial 16S ribosomal RNA". It matches the Rfam family "Bacterial small subunit ribosomal RNA", at positions 524 to 776 of the family's 1533-position model. The record is from RNAcentral.
UACGGGGGGGGCAAGCGUUGUUCGGAAUUACUGGGCGUAAAGGGCGCGUAGGCGGCCUUCUAAGUCGGACGUGAAAUCCCUCGGCUUAACCGAGGAACUGCGUCCGAUACUGAAAGGCUUGAAUCCGGGAGAGGGAUGUGGAAUUCCAGGUGUAGCGGUGAAAUGCGUAGAGAUCAGGAAGAACACCCGUGGCGCAAGCGGCCACCUGGCAGAGCACUGACGCUGAGGCACGAAAGCGUGGGUAGCGAACCGG